This 22-nucleotide microRNA is filed under the name Aedes aegypti (yellow fever mosquito). RNAcentral describes it as "aae-miR-927". Its record names the gene aae-miR-927. The record is from miRBase by way of RNAcentral. Lineage: Eukaryota; Metazoa; Arthropoda; Insecta; Diptera; Culicidae.
CAAAGCGUUUGGGUUCUGAAAC